Molecule: ribosomal RNA, 468 nt
Filed under: uncultured bacterium
Lineage: Bacteria
Description: partial 16S ribosomal RNA
Rfam family: Bacterial small subunit ribosomal RNA
Source: RNAcentral
GACGAACGCUGGCGGCGUGCUUAACACAUGCAAGUCGAACGGAAAGGCCCUGCUUUUGUGGGGUGCUCGAGUGGCGAACGGGUGAGUAACACGUGAGUAACCUGCCCUUGACUUUGGGAUAACUUCAGGAAACUGGGGCUAUUACCGGAUAGGAGCUCCUGCUCCAUGGUGGGGGUUGGAAAGUUUCGGCGGUUGGGGAUGGACUCGCGGCUUAUCAGCUUGUUGGUGGGGUAGUGGCUUACCAAGGCUUUGACGGGUAGCCGGCCUGAGAGGGUGACCGGCCACAUUGGGACUGAGAUACGGCCCAGACUCCUACGGGAGGCAGCAGUGGGGAAUAUUGCACAAUGGGCGGAAGCCUGAUGCAGCAACGCCGCGUGCGGGAUGACGGCCUUCGGGUUGUAAACCGCUUUCGCCUGUGACGAAGCGUGAGUGACGGUAAUGGGUAAAGAAGCACCGGCUAACUACGUG